RNAcentral lists this long non-coding RNA (5420 nucleotides) under Arabidopsis lyrata. Its description in RNAcentral is "long non-coding RNA (ALYR_LNC000903)". Lineage: Eukaryota; Viridiplantae; Streptophyta; Magnoliopsida; Brassicales; Brassicaceae. The record is from RNAcentral.
AUAGCACAUAAGGAAGAUGGACUAUUCAAAUAAGGUAAACUGAACAAAACUGAUAGUUUAGCAAAUAUCUCAAAACUUGUUAAUUUAUCUAAUGAAAUUAUUACUUUGAUACAGUAAUUAUAUAUUUUAUUGAUCAUAUACUAAAACUUACUAUAAAACAAAUAACCAUUAGAGUAGAUUAAUUAGAUAAACAUUAAAUUCAAAUAAAGGAUAAAGCAGUUGAUAGUCAAAAGAAACUUAAAACAAACUUGUCUUCAUAAACAUAAAACAAUAGAGAACCGAGAAAGUAUUUUUGUAAUAAUAAAACAACCGCAGCCACUGGUAGAACCAAACUUAGCUUCCCAUCAUCACACUUCCAACUUCAUUCCAACAUCCUGAACAUCAUCUUGUUGUUCUGCAAAGCCACGGCUGUUUCAAAAAAGAGAAACAUUACUUAAUCCAAUCAGUAAUCAUAGCAUUUGAUUACUUAUUUAACUUCUGAUAGGUAACAACUUACAUGUAUCUCGGAAUGUCCAAAUCAGGAAAGGUUGGAUCAAGAAAAAGCCUUGAACAACCAUACUCACUCAUCAAACAGUUUUGACCUAUUAAAACAUGUUAAUAGUUACCAGUUAGAGUUAUUGUCUAAUGUAUUUGACAGUUAUAUAUAGUUUAGAGGAAAUAACUAACCUUCAAACUCAGCAACCCUCCAAAAACGCAGGACAAUGACAACUGGGUCAUAAUUGUAUGUCACAGAAGUUAUUUUCCUAAACCAUUUAGUCACAAACGCCUGACAGGACCUACCCUUUGCAACACAGAUUGUUUUCCUACCCCUACAUGAUCACAGAUUCAAUGCAUUCAAUACCACAUCGCCAAUACAGAUACUAAUUUGAGAUAUCUAUUAAAAUAAAACUUACAUGUCAUCCUUGAUUUCGACAACAACAAAUCUGGCUUCAUAGUCUGUCUCUCCUUGACGACAAACAAAUGGAAAUCUUUGAAUAGCAGAGACACUCGAGACCACACCAAUAGCAUCUGAAAACAAAUUUCAAAUAUACUUAACUAAAGUCAGAAUAAAGCAAAGUUUUACUAAUUUUCAAUCAAGAAAUAAAUAUACUUGAACCUGACACAUGUUGCUUAUCCUCUAAUCCAGCAUACUCAACUUCAUCAGAAUGAAUGAAGUUCCAGAAAUUUCCAUUACAUCUAGGAGACACAGGCCACAUAGUGGUAGGCCAUAUACACUCUAGUGCAAAACGAUUCCAGGAGUACUUAACAGGUUUAGUAGAUGGUACCACAUGGAAGUCAGCCAUGUAGUACCAGUGACCCUCCUUGAGACCUGGCCGGAAAUUGUAUAAGUAGUUUCCAGGAGGGAUAAAUGCAUCAAUCUGAUUGGCCUAGGCAUAUAAGAAGAACUAAAUAGUAAGUUUUCUCUGUGAAGAUUCAAACAAAUUAGUAAAUCUGUGACUUAAGAAACAGAGGUUCAAUAGAAGAAAUUUUCUAACCUUUUCAUCAGUCAGAAUCAUAAUCGUAGGUUCAUCAAUAGCGUCUAUACCUUGAUUCCAGAUAGAUAAAAUCUUCACGUACAAAGUCCAUCUAGGUCUUUGCAGGUUGAGAUCGGAAAUGUAGUCAAUAGUACCCAUUAGAAUCACAGAAAGUGUAAGUUUUUCUCUGUUUUUUUUUAUAGAGAAGGUUAGGUUUCUGAAUAAAACUAAAGGUUAAGUCUGAGUAUUUAUAGAAUCGUGUAGAGAUGUCAAUGAAUAGAUUCAAUUUCCUAUAUAAAAUAGAUAUUAUAUAUUGUAAAUCAUUGAAACCGUUUGAGAUAAGUAAAGUUAGAUAUAAUAUAUCAAGGAAACUGAAUCGUUAGCCUGUAAAAGAUCUUUAUUCAAUAUUAUAGUAAUGAUUAUAUAAAACUGUGCUUUCCAUAUUACGAUUUCCAAGAAUUUCCAUCAUUGUUUAUAAUAGAGAUUUCGUGUAGCAAACAUAAGGAUGUUAUAGCGGUUCUGCUUUAGGUUUUGAGGUCUAAUGAUUAUAUUUCAAUAACUGAGUAAGACAACGGUACAGUAGACAGAAAUUGAAUCAGGUUUAUUAGAGGAGAUUAACCAAAAAAUCAAACUGAAACAUCAAUUAAAAACCAAAGUAAAAAACCAACAAAUGUCUAACAAUGAAAUUUUUAAAAACUUGGAAUUAUGAUAAUUCCUUAUUGCUUAGCAAACAGGUGCUAGAUCACUAUUUCUCUUUUUUGAUCUUCAUUCCAACUGCUUUAGCCACAUGCCUAGUCUCCUUCUUAUCAGUCACAGGAAGAUCACCACUGUCUUGAACACCAUUUCCUUUGUUGCUUUCAAUCUUGACAUUCUCUACCUUCACAACUUCAGAGAUCUUGUCAGGAACUCCAUUUUGAGACAGACCAUUCUCCUCAAAUUCUAGUUCUGACUUCUGUAAGUCUUUAGGCUCGAUGCACACCUUCUUAGAACUGGAGGAUUGCUCUGACUCAGACAGAUUAGGAGCAUAAACACGCUUGGAAGAUGGAGUAGAUGAGUCAGACGUGUCUUGACUCAUUGUUAACAUGAGACACUGAAUAUAGAGAUUAUCAGUAGGAGAGAUAGUUGAUAUAAUUUUAAGGAGAUUAGAUAGUUAAAAAAUGUUACCUGAUCUCCAGAAACAAUUGAGGCAGGAUUAACCAAUUGUUCAGAUUCCUCAAGGACAUCUUCUUGCAAGAGUCCAUCUUUGUUUAGGAUUCUUGAAACCUUGAAAGAAUCCUUACCAUCCCAAAUGUUUUCUUUCUCAACACAUAGUAGAAAGAGAAAGGUCUUGCCAACCAAAUUCCUUAUUACGUCAGGCAAAUCAUUAGGGUCCUCAAUCUACAUAAGGAAAUUAGUACUUAUCAGUUGAAUGUUUCAUAUAUAUCAAUUACAUAUAUAAUUCACAUAAUAGAAUGUUACCUCAUUGAAUGAUCCACCUAGCAAUGAUGCGGCAGUUUCACCAACAAUUUCUGAGCAUAUACUGUCAAACAAAAGACAUUUUGUUUCACCAGUGUUAUCCAUUACCUUAACAUAUAGCAUGUACCUUCAAUAAGAGAAGUCAUAUUAGUAAUUAUUUCAAAGAAAAAACACAAACUUAUAAAUAUGCAUUAUUAUCAGAUUAAGAAAAGAAGUCUCACUUUGCUACAACAUUAGUGACAGCAUUCCUGCAGACGUCACACCAAAACUUUGGCUUUUGUUUCUUCAUGGAAGCAGUAUUCACUCCAGAAUGAAUGUGAGUGACCUUUUUAUUACAGUUACGGCAACUAAAGUAAUACCAAGCCCAAUCUGUAUCAAUUCCAUAGAUUGUGCAGAUAACUCUAGCCUUUCCAAUCUACAGGGUAUAGGUAAUUAAUGAGAUUUCACACACUAAAGUAGAUAACAAUGCUAUAUGAAUAACUCAAACAAAUACAAACCUCUGUUGAGUUAAAAAGAUCUGAUAUUGUCUUCCUUUCAAACUGAAGACAAUCAUCAUCCUUAUUCACUGUAACCAUCUGGAACUUAGGAACACUUUUACGGAAAGUUAAGGCUAGACCAUCAGAGGGGAGACUGUUAAUAGAAAAAACAAAGAAUGUAAUUUUCAGUCAGUUAUAAUAAAACUAUAAGUUUAGAGUAGUUUAAAAAAUAAACUUAUACGCUCUGGUGAAAGCUUCAAUCUCAGGGAAAGGUGGAUUGAUGUGAACUUGUGAGGCAUCAAAGGAAUUAGAGAGACUCCUAACACCUAGAAAGAAAACAGGAACAAUUGUCAAAUAAAACUUUAUUCAUUACAAAACCUUAGGUUGAAAUAGUAAUAUACCUUUGUAUGCCUUAAUCUUUGCAAAUCUGAUAACACAGAUCACCAUGAUUCCAUCAGCUGCUUGGCAUGCUUGAAACAUUUUUUCAGCAAAAGCCCCCCAGAGUGUGCAUGACAUCCUAUCAUCACUGCAGUAGAAAACAUGUAAUCAAAUAUUAGAUCAUAUCAAAUCUCGUUCUAUAAAUUCUCAGGUUACUUAAUAAUAAAACAACCAUAUCAGAUCACUCACUGUUCAUCACGCAACUCAAAGUCAAGCUUAGUGGUUGGCUUGUUAUUAGCUUCAAGGACCUCUAGCUCACCAAUAUUCACCACUUGACCCAUGACAUCUAUAUUUGGUUCACAACAGUACAUUUAGUAUAUACAUAAAUUAACAGAAUUGAUUUAAGACAUGAGAAUGUAUAUUUUAGAGCAUUACAUACCAAUCAACAUGUAAGGAUUUAAAUCGCCAUUCUGUAUUCUGCUAAACCUUGCCAGAGUUAAGUAGCUUGAAUCAGAGACAAUGUCAGACCGUGUCACAGUAGUGCCAUUCACAAAGGACAUCUUGUAUAGAUGACCGGUUGGUCUGAAUUGCCCUGCUGCAUGAGUAAGUGUAAAAUGUUCAAUGAACUUCCACUCAUUCACUUGUAGGCUGUUAACAUAUUUAGCAACCAAAUCCUUCUUCACAGAAGCAUGAAUCUUGACACCCUGUUUUAAUAAUGAAGUAGAAUUAGAGUUAGGUUUAUAGAUGUUGCUCAUGUAUAGAAAUAUAAAAUGCUACUCUCUGAUAUAUUGUUGUUUUACCUGUGAAUCAGCGAGGACCAACUCAAGGGUUUCACCUGUGUUGUUGGUAUACUGGCGCCAAGAAUGGAGCACCUUAACCUGGACACGCCAAGAUGUCUUGUAUGGUCUGAUAUCUCUUAACAUUGCAAAUUGGGAAGCCAUUGGUGAAGGUAAAUAAAGAAAAUUUUAUUAUCUGAUAUAUUGCUAUUUGGAAAUGAGAGAUUGUGUGAAUAGAGACGAUGGGAAUGAGCGGCUAUUUAUAUAGUUUGAAUUAGUAGGUUCCAUUAGGUUUAGGCGAAUCUUAAAAAAUCCUUGAUGAUCAAGGAUUAAAUAUAUUGUGUGAUCUUAAUUAUUGGAAUAAAAGAGAAUAUGCUAGGUUUAUUGCCGCGAGAAUAUAGAUGAAAUCUUUUCUCUAUUAACUAUUUUCCAACUCAAUAAGAUCAUUCGGAGAUACAUGCUUCAGUUGAUAGAAAGAAAUGAUAAAUGGAGUAGUUACUAUUGCGUUUUAAUAGGGAAGAAUAGAUAUGCUAUGAAUGUUUGCUUCUUUAUUGGUGUAACUGCAAAUAUUUCGUGUAUCUUUAACUGAGAUUGAAUUGAGAAACUUAAUCAUUUUGCCAUGAAUGUAGGUCAAAGCAACUAAGGAAAGAUUUGAUGACUCAAAAUCGGAGCAAAAAAUCAAAUUAGGCAAGAUCCGAGAUUCUCCUAAUCGGGUCGAAAUCAAUUAAUUCCGGGUCAUAAUUUUGACCCGAUUUGGGUACCCCAAAAACUGCUGCAAAAAUGUAUAGUAGAUACUGAUUAAGAUAUGGAUUCGGUUUUAGUUUGAGUUAUUUCAUGUAUAUUAGCUAGGCGUAACUAUUUUGGAACGGGAAACCUAUCCC